Mycena crocata is the source of this 97-nucleotide non-coding RNA. The record is from the annotation of a GenBank genome assembly. NCBI's taxonomy places the organism in Eukaryota, Fungi, Basidiomycota, Agaricomycetes, Agaricales, Mycenaceae.
UCGGAUGUGGUGCACGGCGCACGCCCGCUCUUCGUAGAAAUCGAAGGAGGACUGAAGCGGGAGGAAGUGGCCAUGGGUUCGACUCCCAGCGUCCGAA